Small nucleolar RNA from Camellia sinensis, 178 nucleotides. RefSeq annotates it as small nucleolar RNA snoR138. The record is from RefSeq and is a predicted model, not a curated record. NCBI's taxonomy places the organism in Eukaryota, Viridiplantae, Streptophyta, Magnoliopsida, Ericales, Theaceae.
UAUGCCUUCAGAAUAACCGGACGGAGCAAGGAUAUGCAGUCUCUGUUCGGUUCAGACAGAGGCACAAAAUGAGUGAGAGAGAAAAGUGAGUCUCUCAGUCUCUCCCCUGAAUCAGCUUUUUAAGUGUAAGGAACUAGUUUCCUUUCUAUGUUCCUUUCUUAGAUUGCUUCAGAUAUAU